RNAcentral lists this ribosomal RNA (460 nucleotides) under uncultured bacterium. RNAcentral's name for it is "partial 16S ribosomal RNA". It matches the Rfam family "Bacterial small subunit ribosomal RNA", at positions 338 to 795 of the family's 1533-position model. The record is from RNAcentral.
CCUACGGGAGGCAGCAGUGAGGAAUAUUGGUCAAUGGACGAGAGUCUGAACCAGCCAAGUAGCGUGAAGGAUGACUGCCCUAUGGGUUGUAAACUUCUUUUAUAUGGGAAUAAAAUGUUCCACGUGUGGGAUUUUGUAUGUACCAUAUGAAUAAGGAUCGGCUAACUCCGUGCCAGCAGCCGCGGUAAUACGGAGGAUCCGAGCGUUAUCCGGAUUUAUUGGGUUUAAAGGGAGCGUAGGUGGAUUGUUAAGUCAGUUGUGAAAGUUUGCGGCUCAACCGUAAAAUUGCAGUUGAAACUGCCAGUCUUGAGUACAGUAGAGGUGUGCGGAAUUCGUGGUGUAGCGGUGAAAUGCUUAGAUAUCACGAAGAACUCCGAUUGCGAAGGCAGUUCACUGGACUGCAACUGACACUGAGGCUCGAAAGUGUGGGUAUCAAACAGGAUUAGAUACCCGAGUAGUC